This 540-nucleotide long non-coding RNA is filed under the name Trifolium pratense (red clover). RNAcentral describes it as "long non-coding RNA (TPRA_LNC010768)". The record is from RNAcentral. Lineage: Eukaryota; Viridiplantae; Streptophyta; Magnoliopsida; Fabales; Fabaceae.
UGGUGUAGUUCGCUAAGCGACCAGGAGUUCGCUGUAGCGAACAGGUUCGCCGAAGCUCGCCAAAGCUCGCCAUGAGCAGGUGACUUCCUGGUGUGGUUCGCCAAGUCUCGCUAAGCCCUCGCUUAGCGAAGGCCUCUGUGACAGCAAUUUUUGCUGAUAUUUGUAAAGUGUGUGUAUCCAUGUAUUUGGUUUCGUUUUGGUUUGGAAUUAUUAUAUGUUUAAUAAUUGUGUUGUGUAAUGGCAUUUAUAUAAAAUGUCAAAGAAGUAUAUGUAUGUUUGUAUAUCGGGUAGUCCGAUAAAGAAGAAUAUCAGUUUGUCUGAUAAAGAAGUUUAAUGGAUUAUGUUAUCCAUGUAGUGAGCAGUAGCUUCGUGCUAAGUGAUUAUCAUAUGUUUGGUAAAUGCAUGGCAUUCAUAAAUUCAUGCAUUAUUUAGGGAUAUCAGACUUGUCUGAUAAAGAAGGAUAUUGGACUUGUCCAUUAAAGAAGGAUAUCAAUGGUAAGUUCCUUGAUAAAGAAGAUGGUACCACAUGCAUUAGUCGUG